AGAGGCCCUUUAUUUCCUCUUUGCUUUCUACCAUGAGGGUGGCGUCAUCUGCCUGUCUGAAGUUAUUGAUAUUUCUCCCGGCAAUCUUCCAGCUUGUGCUUCAUUAUCAGUACAAGUCAAUCAAAUCUUUUCAGGACUAACCUUUCACCUAGAGAGCAAAGCUCUCCCACUCAACUAUCAUUCAUAAAAUAUGUCAAAUGGUUUGCUCCAUGCUAUCAUAUUUACACACAUACAGAUGUGUGCCUGGAGUGGCCUUCCUUGUAGUAGUAGUUCAAGAACUCAAUUUCUGGGAAUUCCCUGGUGGUCCAGUGGUUAAGACUCUGGACUCUCACUGCCAAAGGCCCAGUGGAGAGAAGUGAAUUGGGUCUUGGAGCCACAGACCAAAGUUCAUAUCCAGGCUUAGAAGAGUGCCUGACUCAUAAUAGACACUUGAUGAAGGUUGAAUGGAUAAAUGCAUUAAAGGAGAGCUGGGAGUAGGAGGAGUUGUAGGAUUCAUUAAGAAGUCUGGAUUUUAUCUUGGGGGUAAUGGAAGUCAUUAAAAGAUUUGAAGCA
Bubalus bubalis (water buffalo) is the source of this 552-nucleotide long non-coding RNA. RefSeq lists it as uncharacterized. The transcript has 2 exons. NCBI's taxonomy places the organism in Eukaryota, Metazoa, Chordata, Mammalia, Artiodactyla, Bovidae. The record is from RefSeq and is a predicted model, not a curated record.